Lycium ferocissimum is the source of this 834-nucleotide long non-coding RNA. RefSeq lists it as uncharacterized. The record is from RefSeq and is a predicted model, not a curated record. The transcript has 3 exons. NCBI's taxonomy places the organism in Eukaryota, Viridiplantae, Streptophyta, Magnoliopsida, Solanales, Solanaceae.
UCUGAUCCUAAGCACCUCCAAAAUACGCCUAAGACAUCUCCCUCUCAUCUAAAUAAAGUUCUACAAGAAAUAAAAGUGGUUUUCCCUUGGAGAUCAUAGAAGUGUAAGAAAAAGCUUGUUCUUUCAUUGUUGUGGUGGAUUAAAGUUACUUCAAGCCGAAGUAAGGUGUAAGGCGGGAUGCUUUUUGUGCAUCUAAGUGUAGUUUUGACCUUGCGGAAAGUAGAGGAAAAGAGGGGAGGUGCUAUCCAAUUUCGUAUAAGCAAGUUGCCACUUGUCAGUGGUCGUUAUGCUUCUUAUGUUAAUAAAAGAUUGUGUUUCCAUCUUGUAGACUAGCGUAUUGGUGAGUCGCUUGCGGAGUUGUGAAGGACGCCUAUGGUUGAAGGUAUGUUCUGAUAGACAGAUAGAGAGACCUUCCCAGUAGAUAAUGCAGAAUAUCUGCUUGAUUGGUAAGCUCCACUUCAUCAGGAGUUACCAGGUCCAGAGUUAGUAUUGCUUUGUGCAUAUGGAGAUGAUGGGUAGGCCGGAACCCUGUCCUAACCACAAUAUAGUUUGAUCUUCUUAGAGGCUUGUAGAGGUUUCUUGUAUAUUCAAUAUAUCAGCAUGGUGACCUUGUCAGCUCUUGUUUAUAUCUUGUUUUGGGUUUUGUUGUUUGUAUAUGUGAAGUGGCCUUGUCAGACCAUACAGAUAUGUUAUGUAUAUACAUUGGGAUGAUCCCAUUCAAAGAGAUGUUUGUCAUUUACAGAGUUCCAGAUUUCGGCCUGAGAUUUCAUGUUUUACUUACAGUUGGCCUUUUUGGCCCAGAUUGUUGUAUGUAUGUCUAGAGUUCAUGAGUUA